UUUUGAGUAAUUCCCACUUAUUCUCUUUCAAAUAAAUAGCAUCUGCCUUCUAAUUUUUAAGAAAGAGAAAAUUCUGGCUUUAGUUGGCUUAUUCAAAUGGAGGACAAACAAACAGUUAACCACAAUGUACUACUGGUUUUGAAAUACCAUUGUAACAUCAAAUUUAUUUCUACUGUUGAUCUGACUAAUUUAAGGAUUUUUUAAACUUGAUAAAUGCUUAAUAAUGACUACUUAAUGAAUACUUUUGCUGUGAAGCUUAAAUAUAAUCAUCAUCAUAAAUACUUUGAUUUACUUACUAUGGAUCAGGCAGCUCUCCAAGUGCUUUAUGUACGUAAAUGCGUUUAGUUUCCUAUUCUAUUGUACAGGUGAGGAAAAUGAAGCCAGGUGGGGUAGAGUGACCUGCCCAAGGUCACUCUGGCAAGUGGCAGAGUCAAGGAUUUUAACCCAGAUAGACUGGCUCUAGAGCCUAUGCUCUUAACAUCACAUUAUCCUAUUACCCUGCCCCUCUUAAGUGAAUGAAUUUAAUUUUAAGGAACAUAUGAUCAUUUAGGUGUAUUACCAAAUAUAACUUGCUCCACGAGCUUAAUUUUUCCAACAAUAAUACAAUGGCAUUGUUAGCUUAUGAUAUUGUGCUUCCUGAGCUCUUCCUAUAUACAAUUCUUGACCUCAAAUCUAGUGCAAAAGUAAGAAUUAGAUUUCUAAACAGCACAAGCACAGUUUUCUUUAUUAAAAAAAAAAAAAAAUAGACUCACAAAGCACUUGGGAGUAUCAACCUGUCAGACCUAAGUUAAACAAGUAAGUAACUUAACAGAAGUCAAAACCCUGUAGGAGUACCCCAAAUGAAGAAAGUAAAGAGUUAAAACUCUUUCAUAAAUGCAUGGAAACAAGUGGCAAUCUCUAUGACAUUUUUUUGUCUCCCAAAAUAACAAAUGAAAAUGGAUUGAGGUAGAAAGAUUUUCUCACUCUCCUUAAUCCAAUCAUUUCAAAAAAGGUAUAAAAACCCUAUAUACCUUAAAUAUACACACACACAUAUACAUACAUACAUAUAUAUACAUACACACAUAUAUACACACACACACAUACACACACACACAAGGGUAAAAUUUUCCUAUCAUAAAUUUUACAAAACUACGUCUGUUCACCUAAAUAUCAGGUCAAUGUUAUUAUUUUAAUGAAUAGAGAGAGAGAACAGUUACAUUUCUUCUCACAAACUGGAAUAAUUUUUAAACUGAGAACAGGGCAAGGUGACCAGGAUCAUGAUGAAUACUCUUGUUGAGAUCAUCUCCUCUGAAGCUGAGACAUUUUCUUCCUCAUAGGAGGCCACAGACUCCUCUCUGAGAGUGGAAGAACAAAUCUUAUAUAAUUCUUUUUACUCAGAAUCUUGUUCCACUCUCUAAGUAAGAUAAAAUGAGUUGAAUCUAUUUUGGUGAUAACUGAAAUGUCCAAAAGCCCAUUUGCAAGCAAACCCAGAAGUAUGUCCUAUAAAUUGCUCACACUGUAGAAAGGCCAAAAUCAUCUGCAUUUAACCAUUAUCAACAAUGCCCUUGGGAGUUCUGGUCGUGGCGCAGUGGUUAACGAACCUGACUUGUAACCAUGAGGUUUCGGGUUUGAUCCCUGGCCUUGCUCAAUUUGUUAACCACUGAGCCACGACAGGAACUCCAAAGCAAGCAGCCAUUUCUUAAUUAACAAUGUGCUCAUUCAAAGGGAUGCAUAUCAGCCAUGUGGUCCCACUGUUGCCAUGACUGAAACCAAACAAGCAAUUUCGAGACAGCCUGGCCAAUAAAAAUGACUUUAGGCUCCAACCUGGGUAGCAGAAUGAACUGGCCUACCAUUGGGGGGAGAGGGGAGCCUAUUAGUCAGACCAACCUGCCAAUCCACAUCUCUCCUACUUUCAGUCUCCCAGCUGCCUUUCAAGCUUAGAAAGGGGAUGCUUUACCUCUAUAGCAUGCUGCAAUGAUUCAAGGGACCCAGACAACUCCAUUGACCAGAUUCUGGUGCUAAGAAAAUAUUACUAAUCCCUAUCAAGUUUUAAUCCAGAGACAAUGAAAAUAAAUGAGGAGUGUAUCUUCUAGAAAAAACUAUUUACCAGUAGCCCAUGGUUCCUUCAGCAUGUCAGUGUUCUCUAGUGAUGAUAGAGAUUGGAUAUUUUCAAAUAGCACCCACCCUAUCCACCCAGCAGAAGUUGAUCUCUAAAGUUCACUAUUAAUAUUAUAUCGCACAAUAUAAGCCUUCAGAAAAGAUUUGUGUUUUGUGUCAAGUAGAGUAUGUUGGCCCUAAGUUUGUUGAGCAGGAGGGCAAGGAAUUUCCUCUUACUAUAUCUGUGAUUGCACAAUCACCCAGUGGCUGGGUGAUUGGGGCACAGACCUUGGCCCAAUUCAUCUUCUUUUCAAAGCUAGACAGCAGUCACGUUUAUCCAACACAUUCUUGUGAUUCGGCCCCCAAAACCUAACUUCUUUGAACCAUCUGAGCACACUUCAUCAACAUAACUUGAACUUAGAGCUCCAAAAAUAUGAUCUGAAGAUCAUGAAGUUAAAUGAGCUCAGAUAUUCCUAACAGGCCAAAGAUUUCAGCUGUAAUGGAAAAAUACUGAGAACAUUAUGUACAUCUUCAGAUUCUCAGGCAUUAUUGGUCCUUCAUUCUCAUUUCCCCCCU
RNAcentral lists this long non-coding RNA (2652 nucleotides) under Sus scrofa (pig). Its description in RNAcentral is "lncRNA (ENSSSCG00060041325.1)". Lineage: Eukaryota; Metazoa; Chordata; Mammalia; Artiodactyla; Suidae. The record is from RNAcentral.